CUCCAGUGUGGUGGGAUGUCAUACAAGGCCAAUGGCUGAGUCCAGGUCACCAGUCUGCUGGGAUCCAGUGUCCAGGCUUCCCGGCACUCCAGGAUGGAACUAAGGAAUUGACUUUGCCAUGUACUUGGCCAGGUGCCCAUCUUAUUACAUUUUUUGCAUAUGAGCGGCAUAAUUUGUAUUUAUUUUCUCAAAGUACUAAUCAGACUUACGGUUAACAAGCAAAAGGAUUCCUCAUUUCCUACCUCAUUGACUCCAAUCUGGUAUCUAAAACACCCUGUAAUUUGGCUUCAUCUUAUCUGCUGUGAGUUGAGUUAUAUCCCCUCGGAAAUUCAGAUGCUGAGGUCCCAGCCCCCGCAUACCUCUGAGCGUAGCCAUGUUUGGAGACAGAGUCUUGAAAGAGGUCAUUAGAUUAAGAUGAGGUCAUGAGGGUGGGCUGAAUCCAGUGUGACCGGAUCCUUAUAAGCAGAACAACUGUGGCCACUGACAGGUACAGAGGGAAGACGAUGUGAAGACUCAGAGACAAGACAGCCACCUGCAAGCCAAAGAGAGGCCUGGGGACUGACCCCUUUUCCCUCAUGACCCUCAGGAGGAACCAAGCCCGCCAGCACCUUGAUCUCAGACUUCCAGCCUCUAGACUGAUAAAAUCAGCUCCUGCUGUUCCAGCUCCUGGGUCUGUGAUACGCUGUUGGGCAGCCCUGGCCGACUAAGACACUGUCGGUUCUCUCUCAUGUCCUGAGACUUCCUGCAGAAACUCCAACCACACCGGGCUGCCCUCCUCACCAUCCUUCAACGUGCUGGCUCCGUACCAACCUCUGGUCUUUCCCGUGCAUGGGGCCCUACGUCAUGCCCUGUCCCUGGAGUGCCUGUCCACCUCCUGCACGUAUUCCAGGGGUCAGCGAACUGCAGCCUGCCCUGUCUUUGUCAGCACAGUCCUCCUGGGACUGCCGUGCCCUGUGUGUGCUGUCUAUCACCGCUCUCACACCACAGCAGUGGAGGGGAGGAGUUUCGGUAGAGGCUCUGUGUGGCCUGCAAAGCCUUUGAUAUUGACUCUCUGGCCCUUUCUAGAAAAAGUUAGCUGACCCCUGAUCUAUCCAAAUUUCAUCCCUUCUCAGAGGCCCAGUUCGCAUCUGUGGCAGCUCCCAGGACCACCCUCCUGCCCACCGAGUCUCCUCUUCUGAGCUCCUGUGACUCCGGAGUCGGUGAGAAUUUUAAGUAAAAACCUGGAUCUGUGUUUUGGUUUCACCCUCUCCCUAGAAUAACACUUCAUAUCAUCAUGGGGUUUUAAGGGGACUCCUAGGUGCCGGACAGUUGAGAGUCUGUCCUCAGACCCACUCUCCUUCCCUCUCCCCAGGCCUGGUGCUCCAGGAAGCUGACCUUGCUUCCUGCUUGGGCCGGCCCAUGGGCAGCACUAGCAGGACGUCCGUGGGUGGACCCGAGGAGAGAGAGGUGGGGCGUUCGCUCCCCAACUGCAGCACACAGGGUUGGUGUAGACUGGCUGCUUCUUGCUGCCCAAGGCCACAUGUCUGCCCCAUGGCCCUCUCCACAUAGCUGCUCUCUGACUCUGAGGCUGCCCCUCACUUUGUUCCUCCAGCCUUUACCGGUAACAGAUCCACACAGCUGCUACCCUGGGGUACUGUACUUGCUGGCUUCCUUAAACCCUGCCUGCAUCUUUAUGAAACCCUCCUUAAGUCCUUAAACCCUGCCUGCAUCUUUAUGAAGCCCUCCUUAAGUCCUUAAACCCUGCCUGCAUCUUUAUGAAACCCUCCUUAAGUCCUUAAACCCUGCCUGCAUCUUUAUGAAGCCCUCCUUAAGUCCUUAAACCCUGCCUGCAUCUUUAUGAAACCCUCCUUAAGUCCUUAAACCCUGCCUGCAUCUUUAUGAAACCCUCCUUAAGUCCUUAAACCCUGCCUGCAUCUUUAUGAAGCCCUCCUUAAGUCCUUAAACCCUGCCUGCAUCUUUAUGAAGCCCUCCUUAAGUCCUUAAACCCUGCCUGCAUCUUUAUGAAACCCUCCUUAAGUCCUUAAACCCUGCCUGCAUCUUUAUGAAGCCCUCCUUAAGUCCUUAAACCCUGCCUGCAUCUUUAUGAAGCCCUCCUUAAGUCCUUAAACCCUGCCUGCAUCUUUAUGAAGCCCUCCUUAAGUCCUUAAACCCUGCCUGCAUCUUUAUGAAGCCCUCCUUAAGUCCUUAAACCCUGCCUGCAUCUUUAUGAAGCCCUCCUUAAGUCCUUAAACCCUGCCUGCAUCUUUAUGAAGCCCUCCUUAAGUCCUUAAACCCUGCCUGCAUCUUUAUGAAGCCCUCCUUAAGUCCUUAAACCCUGCCUGCAUCUUUAUGAAGCCCUCCUCAAGUCACCUAGUUUAAGAGUACCUACUGUUUCCAUGGGGACACUGACCGACAUACCCCUACGGCACAGGCAAGGUAGAUAUUAUUAUCCCCACUGACAAAAGAAAGUGUAGUCCCCAAAGGCUGAAGUUAGGUGCCCAAGGGGAGAGCUAGUAAAUGGCAGAGAAUGACAGGUCUUGAGUCCAGGCCUUUUUCAGCCCCAUCAGGCGACGUCGCUGAAAUGCACAUUUGCAGGCUGGACUGCUGCUGAGAGCUGGUGGUGCAGGGGCCUGUAGCAGGGUUGCUCCAGCCCCACCGCAGAAUAGACCUGAGCAACUGGGCUGUGUUACUUCCCAGGAAUUGAGGAACUGUGGCACGGCAUGUUUCAUCUGAUUUAAUUUUCUCUUUCAGAAAACAAUAACUUGGAAAGUUAUUCCUUAUGACUUUUCUACCGUUGGAUAGAUCAAGCACGUGGCCAUAUGUAUUGUCAAGUGGAUAGAUGAAGGAACUCUUCAUAUGUGUUUGCCCAGUUUGGAGUCUUAGGAGUCUCUAAUACUGUGAGUCCAGGAAAAACAACAAAGACAGUCCUCGCCUUGGCCUUGCCCUAAGUAGCUCCAAAGCUUUGGCAGGUCACAGUACAACUCUGGUCUCUUACAUGGAUAAAUUGAACCGGAGGGUGAACUGAGGAUCUCUUCUAAGGAAAAGAAAGGAAAGGAAUGGCAAAAGAGAAAAGAAGGUUGUAGAAUAAGAGGAAAGAGUGGAUGAGAGAAAAAGAGAAGAGAAAAAGAAACACAGUUCCCAGGCCACAGCAGCCUGCCUGGGUGGAAAGGUCACAGAGAAAGGUGCCAUCAGCUUCCAGAACCUUCUCAACAACUUCCUGCCAGCCCAGGCCCAGCUUGGCUUCCUCUGCAUAAGCAAUUAAAGCCUGGUUGAUUUUAAGCCAUCAGAAAAGCAGGUCAGAUUUCCUGCAAGGAGGAUCUACAGGGGCCCAGCACUACCUUGAAGGCCGUGAACAGCCACAGAGGGAAAGCCGCCUUGAGUAUGGAGCAAGACUUCCUCAGACAGGUCUCAUUUGUGUCUUCCCUUCCAGCAGGAGGAAGACAGCACCUGCCCAGAGUAGUUUUAGAGGGCACUGCACUAAAGAAGGAGAACUGCAGGGGAAGAUCGUGCCCUAAUGGAUGAAACAUUUCCCAAAUGGCCUGGCUAUCUGGAGAGAUGAGGACUUGCUCAUUAGUAGAAGUUUCCAGGCAAAGCCUGGAUAAGCAUUUGCUGCAGGGGUGGGGGAGGUGAAGGUUGAGAGGAGAUCUCUAAGAUUUCUUUGCCUUGGAAAAAAAAAUUAAGCUCUACAAGAAAGGAGUGGGUUGAUUGGAUGAAACAGUUAAGUUGUUGGUUGUAAGGGGACUCUCGGCACAGAGAGAGAGGGGCUUGAAGCCCACACGUAAUUCUCUCAUCUUCUGGAGGAGUCUUUCUCAGCAGGGACUUCACCAUGUCACAUCACUAUCACUCAGCACACGGGACCCUUGUCCUGGCUCCCAGGGCCCUUGGCAAUCCGCUUUCACUCUACCCAUCUAACUACACCUUCCCUUUCCAGCAUUCGCCCUCUGAUCCAUGCACUCAGUCCUACUCUCUGCCUCCAGAAUAUGCCACACACGGUUCCUCUUGCUUUGACACCACUGAUGGAGGGCUUAAUGCAUCCAGGGCGCUUGCUGGGAGCUGUGCGCCUGUGUCUGGGUCUUUGCCCUGCUGCCCCACUCUUGGAAUUCCAUCCCCACCACUCCCCCACAUGCACAAAAGCCUUCCUACCUACCCUCCAACUCCGACCAUCUCCAUGAAGCCUCCUUGACCUACGUGGCAUCCCAGAAUGGUCCUUUUCCCUGAGGCAUUUACUAUUUGUGCCAUGUAGCUUGGUGUGCUGACACAUAUGGUUCUUUGCUCGUUCAUUAGGAGAGUCCAGCAGUGUGGCUGUUCAAGCGCUCACAUGACAGCACCUCAUUUCAUGCUCCCAACAACCUGGGGAGACUACUGGGGAAGGCGUCUCCAGCCACAGGUGGAGAUGAGAAAACUGAGGCUGCCGAGAGCAGAACCGGGACAGGGACGCAGGCCUUCUCCAGCCUCUGCUCCCUGCUGCUUCCCCAGCCCUGGCGCUUUUGACAUGUGCUCCUGGGACAAGGAAGAGCGAGGCUGCCCUAGCCCCACCUGGCAGACUCCACCAGCCCUCGUAUCCUGACUCCCCUGUCCUUUCCUCUCCACCGAAGCUCCCAGAGAGCACACCUCUGCUGCACCAAGCAGCCUUCCCUGGGAGGGCAGAUGGGAAUGCCCCAGGGAGGGAACAUGGCUGGGGACUUCCACUGGAGGCAUCGGAAGCACCCUGGAAAGACUGGCUGGCACUGGGGCACACACCCCAAAUUCAGCUUUUGCUGUUUCUCCUUCACGCUCAGAGAGGGGUAUGAAUGAGCAUCUUGGGGCCAAGGGACGGGGUGUGUACUCCUUCACUCAUUCAAUGUUUGAUCCAUUAUUCUGGAGCCAUUUAUCCAGCCACCCACCCAUGAGCUCCUUCCUCCCUCCUGGGUUAUUUUGGGUAAGGGCCAAGAUGUGGAGACUGGUGAGCAGUGGUUUUCAUGCCCACAGCAGCUGGGGCAGCUCUAAGCCAAGCACAUUGAAGGAGAAACCGACCCCAAACCAAAAGUGCAAAAAGAACAGACGGGGAUGAACGCCUGCCUCUGUCACUCUCAUUAUUCCACUGAACAGCCUCUCCCUCCAGAUCCUUCCUCUCAAGGCUGAGUCUGAAUCAAAGGCCUUCUUCACCCUUCAUCCCUCCUCCCUCUUUGCCCGAAUCUUAGAACUAUUCUGUAAUUUCUCAGGAGAGCUGGGCUUGUUGGGGACGCUGAUUGUUCUUCCUUCAGAAGAGAGAAAUGGUUUUUGAAAUCCAGAGAACAGGGACCACUGUCUUCAACAAGCAAAAGGCCUGGGGGCAUGACAGGAAGUGGGAAUGUUAAUGAUCCUGAAAUCGACUUGAAAUGUGAGGCCUGACCUUGGGCUCACCUGGGCCCGACUGCCUGGGGUACACUGCUACCUCUCCGUGACCUGUCUCCUUCUGAGUCUUAAAUUCUAGGAGGAUUCAUGCUGCAGGCUCAGUGGCCCAGGAAACCUGGAAGGAAGGAAAGGACACAGAGGUUCUGAUUUGGGGAUGGAGUCCUGGUCCUGGUGGAUGGAACACAGGAAGGCUCUUGGGGCUCUCUGCAGCGCCAUGUAGAAGUGAACAUGCUACUCUAUCACUCCAGUCUACCUUCACCGGAGACCAUUCAUUCAUGGGCUGUGUUUAGAGACUCUUGUGCAAACACGUUUCUUGCCCAUCAUUUCCUUUGAGGAGGGAUGACUCUGGAUGGCACCACAUGUGUGGGCCCUGCUGGUGAAUCAAACUGGGUGCAGGAGGAGGAGAGUUUAUGGCCUUAUCAGUAAAGUGCAAGUUUCGGCUCAAAGCCAGGUGUUUGGAAAUGAAUACAACUUCCUGUUCUGUUGUGGAAGGCCCUUGCCCUGUUCCCAUGAUGCUACCUUUGAGCAUGUCCUGUGAUUUUUCCAGAGACAGUGUUGAAACCUGCUCAUAUCUCUAAAAGAAACGGAAUCCGGGAGCACUGUCAGCUGGGAGGUGGUCACUCCAGUGUGAUGUGACAAGGCCCUGGAAUAGCAGCACAGACACUUGUCUUUGGGCCAACAGCCCCCACAUGGGGUAGGGUGUGGUUCGGGGGAUGCAUGAUUAAGCCCAGGGAAUGAGGACAGACUCAGGGACCUGGAGCCCCCUUUAUGCCCCAGGGUUUUAGAAUUCCGUAAUUUUUGGAUGGCGAUGGAGCUAACCACAUGGCUAAAUAAGGAAUCCAGCACCUGGUACCAGGAUAUAGAAAGAAAGUAAGACAUAAAUGAGCCAGCCCUUCUCUCCCCAGCUGCCCCUCUUCUCCUGACCCUCACCCCAGCCUAACGCUGCCAAUUGCCUUCUAUUUUGAAGAAUUCCAUCUAUCUCCCCAACAGACCACCCUUUUCAUUAGGCAACUCUUUGAGCAGAUUCUCUGUUGUUUCUGGCAAGGCUUCAGUUCUGUCCCUCUAGCAGUGUGGCAUCGACACAAAGUGAUCACGGUGAUUAACAGUUCAGUACUUACAGCAGGUAUCAUAGUUAUUUAAGAGGACAAAGUCUCUCCUAUUAUAUGAGGGUAGAAAUCUCUUCUGGAAACACUGCAGCUGUCACCAGAGGCAUGAGUAUUUCCAUUUGGUGAAGUAAUCCUGAAGGAUGGAGCCAUCAAAGCCUAUGUUUGGGGUUGUUACUCGACUUUUUCCCCAGGAGGCAUUUAAUCAUGCAGGCAAGGAUUUAAUAGGCUGAGUUGCUUGGAAUUCUCCAUGUGGCACCUUUUAGGGUAAGGGGACUGCUUGUGGGUGUGUUUAUGGUCAUGGGUAUUAAACAGGCCUUGGAAUGCCAAGGGGCAGAGGGUCAUGGCAGGGAUCCCACCAAGGAGCAGGCAGGACAAACCAACUCCCAGGAAGAGCCCCUCAGAGGGGCAUGGCACUGCACAACCUCCUCCAUCAUUCCUGAGGCUGAAAAGCACAAGGUGUUUAUCCUGGAGCCUCCAGGAUAGGUGUUCAGGGCCUGCCAGCCCUUAGGACCCUAUCCCAGUGGAUGCAGGCUCUUUCCAAUCCUUCCCCGCCUGUCCACUCCCACUCAGGCCUUAUCAGCCUCUGACUGACCCCCACUCCGCCUCCAGCUUCUCUCUCCUUCCAGCCCAUUGUCCACACUCGGCUGCACAGUGACCUUUCGAUGGUAAACUGGUACCUUGUCAUCCCUCUGCUUAAAUCUCUUCGGUGGCUCCUCCUUAACCACAGGAUAGAGUCCCACUCCGAGGCCCUUUGGGACCAGGUCCCAGUCUUUCUGUCCUGAUCUUUCUUUUUGGCUUCUCCCCUGUGCACCCUGAACUCAAAUCACCAUGAAACAUGUGCAAUUCCAUUUCCUUUCCUUCUUUUAAAAAUUAUUUUGCUUCUACAACUUUGCAAAUGUAGCCCCCUCAGCUUAGAAGGUCCGGUUGCGAUCUUUUGGCCGUGUGACCUGCUGCCAAACUGCAGCAGGAACACUGUCCUGUGCCCACCCAGCCCCAGUCCUUCUGCCCCCGAGCACUUAGUUAGCUGCUCUUCGCCAGUCCCCUGGAAGUCAGGCGGAAGUGGGAGCUGUGUUCCGGCCGAUGGUGUGUCGCGAGCAAUGCCCACACUCCCAGGCCUGGCUGCUGAAGCCUCCAGCAGGCCCUCUGCUCCCUCUUCUGCUGGCCCGAUGCAGAGCAGACAGGGGAGACUGUGAGGCCCCGGGGGUGGCAAAGCCACAAAAGGGGUGCAGCCUUGGGGCCUGAAGACCGGUGUGGUGGAACUCUCCUCCCUCCCAUCCCCAGCUCACACUCCACCGUGGGGUGAAAAGUAACCUUUACUGUAC
This 7780-nucleotide long non-coding RNA is filed under the name Homo sapiens (human). Its description in RNAcentral is "HSALNT0184252". The record is from RNAcentral. Lineage: Eukaryota; Metazoa; Chordata; Mammalia; Primates; Hominidae.